GACGAACGCUGGCGGCGUGCUUAACACAUGCAAGUCGUGCGGUAAGGCCCUUUCGGGGGUACACGAGCGGCGAACGCGUGGGUAACACGUGAGCAACCUGCCUUCCACUUAGGGAGAACUAACGGGAACAAAGGCUAAUAAAGAACAUAACUUCCUCACGCAUGUCGGGUGGUGGAAAGCCUACGGGUGGUGGGGGAUGGGCUCGCGGUCUAUCAGCUUGUUGGUUGGGUGAUGGACGACCAAGGCUUCGACGGGUAGCCGGCCUGAGAGGGUGACCGGCCACAGUGGGACAGAGAGACGGCCCAGAGUCGUACGGGAGGCAGCAGUGGGGAAUAUUGGACGAUGGACGAAAGCCUGAUGCAGCAACGCCGCGUGAGGGAUGGCGGCCGUCGGUUUGUAAACCUUUUUCGCCUGCGACGAAGCGGGAGUGACGGUAGCUGGUAAAGAAGGACCGGCUAACUACGUG
This 466-nucleotide ribosomal RNA is filed under the name uncultured bacterium. RNAcentral's name for it is "partial 16S ribosomal RNA". It matches the Rfam family "Bacterial small subunit ribosomal RNA", at positions 28 to 507 of the family's 1533-position model. The record is from RNAcentral.